Molecule: long non-coding RNA, 656 nt
Organism: Cornus florida
Lineage: Eukaryota; Viridiplantae; Streptophyta; Magnoliopsida; Cornales; Cornaceae
Exons: 3
Source: RefSeq, a predicted model, not a curated record
CUGCUAUUUUGGUGUAGGGUCGUUCUUGUUGGCAACCUUAACUAAUUAGCCUCCAAAUGGAAGAACAUUGAUUUUGAUGACGAUGAAGAUGACUUCAACAUGGCUGACGACAAUGAUGAUGAAGCGGCGUAUUAGAUGUUGCUCUUGGGAAUGCUUUUCUGGCUUUCUUCAACUUGGCAAAUGGAAGCAUUCCUUUUCCCCAUACCAAAUCAGAUGAGUUUGAGUAAUUAGCAUAAGGUUGCUAUACAGUCAGAGGGCCUUCUUUUUUGUUUUUUGCCAUUUUUUUCUGAUUGAUUAGGUAAAGAAUCAAACUGCUAACCCUACUGCUUCUUUUUAGAUACCAUGCCAUGUUGAUUUGACCGAAAGAAUCUUAUGGCUUUUCUAAAGUGCAAAGGAGGCUACAUUACAGUGAGGGGAUGAUGGAACUCACUUGGUUGCUUAUAUCGGUUUGAGUGAAUUAGAUUAUCUCACUUAAAUAUAUGUUCAUCUCUUCCAGAUUGUGUCAAGCAUCCAAAGAUCAGCCAUCAAGUGUAUUGCUUCUUUGCCACUCAGCAGUUACUAUAAUGUUUGCCAUUGCAUAUUCUGUUUUUGCUUUCUGUUCACUGUAUUUCUUUUUUAAAUUUUCGUCUUGAAUUUAGCCAUUUGUAAGUUUUUGA